CGUGAGAUGUUGGGUUAAGUCCCGUAACGAGCGCAACCCUUGUCCUUAGUUACCAGCACGUUAUGGUGGGCACUCUAAGGAGACUGCCGGUGACAAACCGGAGGAAGGUGGGGAUGACGUCAAGUCAUCAUGGCCCUUACGGCCUGGGCUACACACGUGCUACAAUGGUCGGUACAGAGGGUUGCCAAGCCGCGAGGUGGAGCUAAUCUCACAAAACCGAUCGUAGUCCGGAUCGCAGUCUGCAACUCGACUGCGUGAAGUCGGAAUCGCUAGUAAUCGCG
Molecule: ribosomal RNA, 281 nt
Filed under: Pseudomonas taiwanensis
Lineage: Bacteria; Pseudomonadati; Pseudomonadota; Gammaproteobacteria; Pseudomonadales; Pseudomonadaceae
Description: partial 16S ribosomal RNA
Rfam family: Bacterial small subunit ribosomal RNA
Source: RNAcentral